RNAcentral lists this ribosomal RNA (465 nucleotides) under uncultured bacterium. RNAcentral's name for it is "partial 16S ribosomal RNA". It matches the Rfam family "Bacterial small subunit ribosomal RNA", at positions 338 to 795 of the family's 1533-position model. The record is from RNAcentral.
CCUACGGGAGGCAGCAGUGGGGAAUAUUGCGCAAUGGGCGAAAGCCUGACGCAGCGACGCCGCGUGAGGGAUGAAGGUCUUCGGAUCGUAAACCUCUGUCAGCAGGGAAGAACGGUCACUGUGCUAAUCAGCAGUGAAUUGCCGGUACCUGCAAAGGAAGCACCGGCUAACUCCGUGCCAGCAGCCGCGGUACUACGGAGGGUGCGAGCGUUAAUCGGAAUUACUGGGCGUAAAGCGCUCGUAGGCGGUAUGUCAAGUCAAGGGGGAAAUCCCCGCGCUCAACGUGGGAACUGCCUUUGAAACUGGCAAACUGGAGUGUGUGAGAGGAUAGUGGAAUUCCAGGUGUAGGAGUGAAAUCCGUAGAUAUCUGGAGGAACAUCAGUGGCGAAGGCGACUAUCUGGCACAUAACUGACGCUGAGGAGCGAAAGCGUGGGUAGCAAACAGGAUUAGAUACCCGGGUAGUC